Long non-coding RNA from Mauremys mutica (yellowpond turtle), 992 nucleotides. RefSeq lists it as uncharacterized. Lineage: Eukaryota; Metazoa; Chordata; Testudines; Geoemydidae. The record is from RefSeq and is a predicted model, not a curated record. The transcript has 6 exons.
CCCCUAAAGGCGUUGCAGAUAUGGUUGCUGUGCCAUGUUUGUGUCAUCAGGUGGCAGAGAGGAAGAGGCUGUGUCUACGCUCAGUGUUCUGAAAUCAUGAGCACUCAGAAUGAUUAGCAGCCUGACACUUUUUAAUAUAAAUGUAGUAGUCAGUGAAAGGUGCUGGAUCCUGAGUUGUGAAGAUAGAAGUUUUCUGUCCAGUGCAGGUAUCAUAUGUUCAGGAGCAGGGCCAGUUUCUCUUCCCUGCCCUGUUCCAAUGUGUUCACCUCUGGGCAAGAAGAAUCAAAAGAUAACAUGGUCCCAGAAGUCUGCAUCCUAGACAUGAGUUGCUCUUGAGGAAGGAGGACAGCACUAAUUUCCUUUGAAAUGGUGUAACGUAAAUGCUGUUGAAGGCAGACAGCAAUCCAGAUAUGGACUACACCUUCCUGGGGGACUCAUCCAUGGUUCUGAUUUUCAGCCAUUGAAAAUACCAACCUUUUAAAGUAAGACAUGUGGAACUGGCAGUGAGGAAAAUACCAGCCUUCCUAAGGAUUAAACAGACGAGCAUGGACACCUCAGUUGAGCUCAACGUUACUUUAUCAGAGCCACAAUCAGAAGUAUCAGACCAGAUGUGCGUGAGGAGCAGUAUGAUGUACCUUCCUGGGCUACGGAAGUAUUGCAAUGUCUAGCACUAUAUUUUGAGGGUGGCAUUUAUUUGAAGUUCUUAUUCUAAUAUGCUGGGGCACUUUGUUUGCAGAUGACGCCUGUAAGUUUGUGUUUUCUAACAAGCCUGGCAGCAGCAAAAGAAACCAUUUGGGGUCUCUGCACUUGAAGUUUGCUAGAUAUAUCUUUAGCCUCUGCCAUGCACUGGCUCAAAGACGCUGCAAGCACUACAGACAGUGAAUGUGAAUAUAAUAUGUGGUGAUGUAAAUAUAUUCUUUGCAACUCUAAAUGUUCUCUGUAACCUGUUUAGCCAAGGUGCAAUAAAGAAUAAAUAGCUAUCCUGAUCUUCA